Phrynosoma platyrhinos (Desert horned lizard) is the source of this 71-nucleotide non-coding RNA. The record is from the annotation of a GenBank genome assembly. NCBI's taxonomy places the organism in Eukaryota, Metazoa, Chordata, Lepidosauria, Squamata, Phrynosomatidae.
GCCAGGAUGGUGUAGUGGUUUGAACACUGAACUAUGACUCUGGAGAUCAGGGUUCAAUUCCCCACUUGGCC